AAGAGAGAAAUAUAAGAACUGCUAACUCUUAGACCCGUAACUAAACCUAUGGCUCUCUUA
Molecule: transfer RNA, 60 nt
Filed under: Macroscelides flavicaudatus (Namib round-eared sengi)
Lineage: Eukaryota; Metazoa; Chordata; Mammalia; Macroscelidea; Macroscelididae
Description: tRNA-Ser
Source: RNAcentral